UACGGAGGGUGCAAACGUUGCUCGGAAUCAUUGGGCGUAAAGCGCACGUAGGCGGCCUGAUAAGUCGGGUGUGAAAGCCCUGGGCUCAACCCAGGAAGUGCACACGAAACUGUCAGGCUUGAAUAUGGAAGAGGGUCGCGGAAUUCCUGGUGUAGCGGUGAAAUGCGCAGAUAUCAGGAGGAACACCGGUGGCGAAGGCGGUUCUCUGGGCCUUACCUGACACUGAGGAGCGAAAGCGUGGGGAGCGAACAGG
RNAcentral lists this ribosomal RNA (253 nucleotides) under uncultured bacterium. RNAcentral's name for it is "partial 16S ribosomal RNA". It matches the Rfam family "Bacterial small subunit ribosomal RNA", at positions 524 to 776 of the family's 1533-position model. The record is from RNAcentral.